UCCUUUACUUUCCCCGCAUUUCACUGGUUCAGCCAAAAUGUUGAUUCGUCUGGCUCAAAUGUUUACCCGGACACCUAACAACCCUAAUUUCAUCUUCAUCACUACCAGACUCUUCUCUGCAUCCUCAUCUAAUGAAUCACUUCUUCCAAUUUCUAAAAACCCUAUAAUCAAAUGGCCCUCAGAAACCCAUCAUCCAAAACCAAACCCCGAAUCUUCCCAUCAAAAUCAAGAUGAACAAAAUCCUAGUCCUAAUUUUCUUCAAAGAGACUGUAUUACAAUCUGCAAUCUUCUAAGGGACAGUUACAAUAAUCUUUCACCUGAAAAAACUCUUGAAACUGCAUUAGAUGAAACUGGUAUCAAACCUGCUUCUUCUCUAUUACAAACAAUUUUGCCCCAUUUUGAUUCUUCACCAGAACCCUCUCUUUCUCUCUACAAAUGGGCAGUAAAACAACCCUCUUUUGAUCCUGAUACUUUUGCAGUUCUCAUUAAGCAGUACACUCUUGCAGGUAUGACUUUGACUGCGAUUCGCACAUUUGAGAUUGCUAGUGAAUUAGAUUCAAGUCAUUAUACAUUUUCAAUAUCUAGUUUGUUUGAGACUUUAUUGGACUCUCUUUGUAAAGAAGGGCAUGUUAGGAUAGCUUCUGAGUAUUGUGUUAAGAGGAGAGAAUUAGAACCAGGUUGGGUACCUUCAGUUGGAGUUUAUAAUGUUUUACUUGAGGGAUGGUUUCGAAUUGGGAAACUUAAACAGGCUGAAAGACUCUGGGGGGAUAUGAAAACAGAAAAUGUAGCUCCUAAUGUUGUAACUUAUGGUACACUUGUUGAAGGUUAUUGCAAAUUGCGUCGCGUUGAGAGGGCAAUGGAAUUAGUCUCAGAGAUGAAGAGAGAAGGAAUUCGUGGUGACGCUAUUGUUUAUGAUCCAAUUGUUGAUGCAUUGAGUGAAGCGGGUAGAUUUAAAGAAGCUUUAGGAAUGAUGGAGAGAUUGUUGGUUACGGAUCCAGGUCCAACUAUUUCGACUUAUAAUUCUAUGGUGAAGGGUUAUUGCAAGGCAGGGGAUUUGGCUGGAGCAAGCAAGAUUCUAAAGAUGAUGAUAGGGAGAGGGUUAAUUCCAACAGCAACAACUUAUAAUUAUUUCUUCAGGCAUUUUUCUAAAUUUGGGAAGAUUGAAGAAGGGAUGAAUCUUUACUCUAAGAUGAUUGAGUCAGGGUAUUUUCCGGAUCGUCUUACUUACCACUUGUUAAUCAAGAUGUUGAGUGAGGUUGGGAGGUCAGAUUUGGUUGUUCAAGUUUGCAAGGACAUGAAGGUUAAAGGUCAUGGUUUGGAUCUAGGUACUAGUUCCAUGUUAGUUCAUUUGCUCUGUAAUUUACGAAGACUUGAAGAAGCUUGUGUGGAGUUUGAGGAUAUGAUAAGGAGAGGGGUGGUUCCUCAAUCUCUUACUUAUAAGGAACUUUGCGACGAACUGAAAAUAGCAGGAAUGCAUGAAAUGGCUAGGAAGCUAUCUGUCCAGAUGAGUUCUAUCCCACAUGAGAUGAAGUUACCAAAUACAUAUAGAGGAGGAGGAGAUAGGUCACAAGAAGUGAGAACAUCCAUAUUGCGAAAAGCUCAGGCUAUGUCUGAUGUUUUAAAGACAUCAAAAAAUGUGCAGGUACUCUCUAAGCUUAGAGUUCGUUCGAAGGAACCUGGCGAAGCAAAAAUCGAUAAACAGAAUGUAAGGAGAUGCGGGAAAGAUGUGAAGGGUGUGUAAUCUUGAGUUUAGCCUAAAAACGGGAACGUCUAUUCAGUUCUCACUCGGCUAAGGCCAUCAGAUGCACAAGGAAGAAAUGGUUCUUUUAACAUUGUGAUUGCCCAUCAUGUGAAAUGCUGGUGCCAUAUCCGAUAAGCUUUGAAGAUCUCGAAGAGGGGUAUGUAAGCUACAGAAGAUACACCGUGCAGAUGAUACUGUGAUCCCUCUUAUUGCUAGAUUAUUUAUUGUUGGAGCUGCAUUCCUCAUAGUAGCCCAUAGUGCAAGGCAGAUAAGCUCGGAAACGAUGGUUUGUUUGGGACUCCUUCACACAACAAGAAACUGCAGUAAGAAUGAGGUGAGACACUUUUGUUCGCAAAUCUUGGGCGAACGAGCCAUGCCCAUUAUCCUAAUUUAAUUUCCUCUAAUGUGACGAACUGAGGAUCAAUAUUAUUGUGCGUUUCUUCUGCACCCAGAGUGGAUUCCUUGGCAUUCCUUUUCAAGUGCUUGCUUGCAUGGCUCGUCUCUUUGUUCCUAGUAUAUUGCUGUUCAGAGCCCUUUUCUGCACUAGCAGCUGUUGAGCUGGAGUCGGAACUACUAAUUGAAUGAAUAUCCCACCGAGUCGGAAUUACAUCAAAUGCUUUCUCACUAGGAAAGUUUCGCAAUUCUGAUAAAUGUUUUUCUAAACAUUUCUUUUAGUAGUGACUAGUGAUGAUAAAAGUAAUGUACUAGUUUCCAAGACAUGGAUUGAGAAUUGAGAUUGACAUUGUGCGAUUGAGUGUUUCUUUAACACCCGCAUGCUCUCUGGAUAUAUAUCCGAUGGGAUGUGUGAGGGGACGAAUAUGAGCCUCAAUAAUAAUAUAUUAACGCCCCA
RNA transcript from Papaver somniferum (opium poppy), 2591 nucleotides. It is a transcript of the gene named pentatricopeptide repeat-containing protein At5g11310, mitochondrial-like, with no coding region annotated. The transcript is spliced from 2 exons. NCBI's taxonomy places the organism in Eukaryota, Viridiplantae, Streptophyta, Magnoliopsida, Ranunculales, Papaveraceae. The record is from RefSeq and is a predicted model, not a curated record.